This 509-nucleotide ribosomal RNA is filed under the name uncultured bacterium. RNAcentral describes it as "partial 16S ribosomal RNA". It matches the Rfam family "Bacterial small subunit ribosomal RNA", at positions 28 to 523 of the family's 1533-position model. The record is from RNAcentral.
GACGAACGCUGGCGGCGUGCUUAACACAUGCAAGUGGUGCGACGAACCAGGCCUCGGCCUGGGGCGAAGCCGCGAACGGGUGAGUAACACGUGGGCAAUCUGCCCCUUUGAUCGGGACAACCCGGGGAAACCCGGGCUAAUACCGAAUGAGGUGGCGACUCAUGAGAGUCGUCACGAAAGGAAGCUUCGGCCGCUGCGAAGGGAUGAGCCCGCGGCCCAUUAGCUUGUUGGUGGGGUAAUGGCCUACCAAGGCAACGAUGGGUAGCUGGUCUGAGAGGACGAUCAGCCACACUGGGACUGAGACACGGCCCAGACUCCUACGGGAGGCUGCAGUGGGGAAUCUUGCGCAAUGAGCGACAGCUUGACGCAGCAACGCCGCGUGAGGGAAGAAGGCUUUCGGGUCGUAAACCUCUUUCAGUUAGGACGAAGCUUUAUUGGUUAAUAACCAAUUGGAGUGACGGUACUUUCAGAAGAAGCCCCGGCUAACUACGUGCCAGCCGCCGCUGUAA